UACAGAGGUGGCAAGCGUUGUUCGGAAUUACUGGGCGUAAAGGGCGCGUAGGCGGUUCGUUAAGUCCUGUGUGAAAUCCCCCGGCUCAACUGGGGAACUGCACAGGAAACUAGCGGGCUUGAGUUCGGGAGAGGGAGGCGGAAUUCCGGGUGUAGCGGUGAAAUGCGUAGAUAUCCGGAGGAACACCGGUGGCGAAGGCGGCUAGCUGGACCUAUACUGACGCUGAGAGACGAAAGCAUGGGGAUCAAACAGG
RNAcentral lists this unclassified non-coding RNA (253 nucleotides) under uncultured Acidobacteriota bacterium. RNAcentral's name for it is "uncultured Acidobacteria bacterium contains 16S-23S intergenic spacer region". It matches the Rfam family "Bacterial small subunit ribosomal RNA", at positions 524 to 776 of the family's 1533-position model. The record is from RNAcentral. Lineage: Bacteria; Pseudomonadati; Acidobacteriota.